AUACGUAGGGUGCGAGCGUUGUCCGGAAUUACUGGGCGUAAAGAGCUCGUAGGUGGUUUGUCGCGUCGUCUGUGAAAUUCCGGGGCUUAACUCCGGGCGUGCAGGCGAUACGGGCAUAACUUGAGUACUGUAGGGGAGACUGGAAUUCCUGGUGUAGCGGUGAAAUGCGCAGAUAUCAGGAGGGACACCGGUGGCGAAGGCGGGUCUCUGGGCAGUAACUGACGCUGAGGAGCGAAAGCAUGGGUAGCGAACAGGAUUAGAUACCCUGGUAGUCCAUGCCGUAAACGGUGGGCGCUAGGUGUAGGGGUCUUCCACGACUUCUGUGCCGUAGCUAACGCAUUAAGCGCCCCGCCUGGGGAGUACGGCCGCAAGGCUAAAACUCAAAGGAAUUGACGGGG
RNAcentral lists this ribosomal RNA (398 nucleotides) under uncultured bacterium. Its description in RNAcentral is "partial 16S ribosomal RNA". It matches the Rfam family "Bacterial small subunit ribosomal RNA", at positions 523 to 918 of the family's 1533-position model. The record is from RNAcentral.